RNAcentral lists this ribosomal RNA (452 nucleotides) under uncultured bacterium. RNAcentral describes it as "bacterial SSU rRNA". It matches the Rfam family "Bacterial small subunit ribosomal RNA", at positions 27 to 524 of the family's 1533-position model. The record is from RNAcentral.
GAACGAACGCUGGCGGCAGGCCUAACACAUGCAAGUCGAACGCCCGUAGCAAUACGGGAGUGGCAGACGGGUGAGUAACGCGUGGGAACGUGCCCUUCGGUUCGGAAUAACUCAGGGAAACUUGAGCUAAUACCGGAUACGUCCGUAAGGAGAAAGAUUUAUCGCCGAAGGAUCGGCCCGCGUCGGAUUAGCUAGUUGGUGAGGUAAUGGCUCACCAAGGCGACGAUCCGUAGCUGGCUGAGAGGAUGAUCAGCCACACUGGGACUGAGACACGGCCCAGACUCCUACGGGAGGCAGCAGUGGGGAAUAUUGGACAAUGGGCGAAAGCCUGAUCCAGCCAUGCCGCGUGAGUGAAGAAGGCCUUAGGGUUGUAAAGCUCUUUCAGCGGGGAAGAUAAUGACGGUACCCGCAGAAGAAGCCCCGGCUAACUUCGUGCCAGCAGCCGCGGUAAU